AUCAUGAUGCUACAGUAACUUGAGGCAUGAUUCUGAGCCUCUCCUAUUUUCGGUUUGGUUUACUGCUAGCUAGGGCUAAGUGUUGUGAAAAAAUUUGUGUUUGGUUUCGUAGAUCUUUUGAUCGAUGAUCAAAACUUGUGUAUUUUGAGUGGUUUGAUGUAACUUUGGUUCUCUUGGACGGCGAUUUGCAUGGUGGAACGGGUUUCAGCUCCUGAGCCCCCCAAAUUAGGCCACGUUUGGUCGAGCUGGGUCACCAAUCUCUGUUGUUCUAUCUGAUUUUCGUUUUAUUAUUUGAGUACUUAAGUAUAUAGUGUUCGAUUACAGUUCUUAGUCAUCAGCAAAUAACCCAACAUAAAUGAAUAAGUUUAAUUAUCACAUAAUGAGAGCAAGCAAUAUUCUCCCUUUUUUAGAUAAUCGUAACUAUAAUUAAUAUUUUUCUUUUUUGCACUGUGCAACAUAUGAUUUUCAUAGGUUACGAGCAAUUCUAACUGUGAAAUUACUUCGGGCCCUCUCAAUAAUGUGGUUAACAUUUCUUAUUUAAUUUAUUAAAGUUGUUUUCUAAAUUGUUUCAAUUCUGACUGAUCUUGCAUUUGCUCAAAAAUAUUUUGCAUGACUGCGUUUUCUAUACAACUAUUAUUACUUUAAAUAACAGAAAAAAUGUCACAUUACGUUUUUCAAAAUCACUUGCAGUGGACAUGUUAUCAGCUAGUGAAAAAUGAUAGUUCUUCUUUUAUCUUUUACAGAAAAAAAAAAAAAAAAAGAAGAAGUUAUUUUGAACUUCUUUCUUUUUGUUGAUAAUAAUGUUGCAUGCAAAUGCAUGAGUAAAAUUGAAGUAAAUAUUAAGAAAAAAGAAGAAUGGUACAAUAGAACUUCCGGAACUCAAACAGUAGUGCAAGGAAUGAACAGUUGAACUUGAUGAAUCCCACACGCGAUAACUACUCUGGGAACCAACAGACCAUUCAGGAAUGAGACCAGUUGAACUAUGUACCUACUCACAAUGGCUAUUAUGGAAAUCAGCUAACAAUACAAGGAUUGGGUAAAAGGGAAUUGUCCCUGCUCCAAGUUUCACAUACGGCAUUCGGGAGGAAAGCAAUGUAAGGUCCACCUAAUUCCAUGAUGAUGCAACAAGACAUGCUUGAGGGCUACCUUCCUAGCUGCUAAUAAGACGGCAGAGAUCUUUCAUUGAAGUUAAAAUGUUGAAUUCUCAUUUUCUUUGUGGUGGAGAAAAAAUUACUGCACGGGAAAAUCUAUCAUUUGUCCAUAACCUAAGAAAGCUUAGAAUAUAA
RNAcentral lists this long non-coding RNA (1286 nucleotides) under Olea europaea subsp. europaea. The record is from RNAcentral. Lineage: Eukaryota; Viridiplantae; Streptophyta; Magnoliopsida; Lamiales; Oleaceae.